GGGGCCGUAGCUCAGUUGGGAGAGCGUCUGCUUUGCAAGCAGAAUGUCGUCGGUUCGAUUCCGUCCGGCUCCA
This 73-nucleotide transfer RNA is filed under the name Devosia sp. Root413D1. It matches the Rfam family "tRNA". Rfam says of the family: Transfer RNA (tRNA) molecules are approximately 80 nucleotides in length. Lineage: Bacteria; Pseudomonadati; Pseudomonadota; Alphaproteobacteria; Hyphomicrobiales; Devosiaceae. The record is from Rfam by way of RNAcentral.